RNAcentral lists this ribosomal RNA (567 nucleotides) under Triticum aestivum (bread wheat). RNAcentral describes it as "partial small subunit ribosomal RNA". The record is from RNAcentral. Lineage: Eukaryota; Viridiplantae; Streptophyta; Magnoliopsida; Poales; Poaceae.
AUGACUCGCAGGAGGAACGAUUUGGAGGCUUACCUGAAAGCUCUUGCCAAGAAACUCUUUCUUAUGCUCGAAGAAUUCUGCCAAAACUUUGAAGAGGAGACUGGACGGGUCGAGACAGGAUUGGACCCUAUCCUUUCUCCAGUCGGCGAUGAGGCUGCCAUGAAUAUGCUUCGAUUGGAAUCCCGCGUCGCCAGUGUUACAAGUUACCUUGCCCGUCUGAAGGUGGCACUAUCCCGCAUCGACUCAUCGCUCUGGCCAAGGGCAACGUUUCAGAAUGAUCUCGAGUCUCUGAUGGCUCGACUCAAUGAGGUCCCCGGCCGAGUGCAGGAAUGGAAGAAGUCCUCUGCCCGCUGCGGUGCUGACGUGGCUCUGUCACUGGUCAGGGUCCACUUCAGAGAGGCUCGAGAAGAGAAGCUGGUGGCGAUCAAGGUUGCCAACACAAAAAGGCACGACUUCCAGUCCUUCAUGGAAACUUUCAUUGCUGCUGCACUCGGAUUGCGGACGGGGUCGACUUGGACGAGUUCAUCGAGCCUGCAAGUCCUCCUCCUGCUGAGUGAACCAACUUGA